CCUACGGGAUGCAGCAGUGGGGAAUAUUGCACAAUGGGGGGAACCCUGAUGCAGCGACGCCGCGUGAGUGAAGAAGUCACUCGUGAUGUUAAGCCCUAUCAGCAGGGAAGCAAAUGACGGUACCUGACUAAGAAGCCCCGGCUAAAUACGUGCCAGCAGCCGCGGUAAUACGUAGGGGGCAAGCGUUAUCCGGAUUUACUGGGUGUAAAGGGGGCGUAGACGGUAGCGCGAGUCCGAAGUGAAAGUCUGGGGCCCAACCCCGGGACAGCUUUGGAAACUGGGGAGAUUGAGUGCGGGAGGGGCAGGCGGAAUUCGUGGUGUAGCGGUGAAAUGCAUAGAUAUCAAGAAGAACACCGACGGCGAAGGCAGCCUACUGGACCGUAACUGACGUUGAGGCUCGAAAGCGUGGGGAGCGAACAGGAUUAGAUACCCUUGUAGUC
This 440-nucleotide ribosomal RNA is filed under the name uncultured bacterium. RNAcentral describes it as "partial 16S ribosomal RNA". It matches the Rfam family "Bacterial small subunit ribosomal RNA", at positions 338 to 795 of the family's 1533-position model. The record is from RNAcentral.